GGAGAGAUGUCAGAGUGGUCGAAUGUGCUCGCUUGGAAAGCGUGUAUACCGCAAGGUAUCGGAGGUUCGAAUCCUCUUCUCUCCGCCA
This 88-nucleotide transfer RNA is filed under the name Clostridiales bacterium. RNAcentral describes it as "tRNA-Ser". It matches the Rfam family "tRNA". Rfam says of the family: Transfer RNA (tRNA) molecules are approximately 80 nucleotides in length. Their secondary structure includes four short double-helical elements and three loops (D, anti-codon, and T loops). Lineage: Bacteria; Bacillati; Bacillota; Clostridia; Eubacteriales. The record is from RNAcentral.